RNAcentral lists this ribosomal RNA (203 nucleotides) under uncultured bacterium. RNAcentral's name for it is "partial 16S ribosomal RNA". It matches the Rfam family "Bacterial small subunit ribosomal RNA", at positions 328 to 539 of the family's 1533-position model. The record is from RNAcentral.
ACGCUCGACACCUACGGGAGGCAGCAGGUUGGGAAUAUUGGACAAUGGGAGGAAACUCUGAUCCAGUGACGCCGCGUGAAGGAAGAAGGUCUUCGGAUUGUAAACUUAUUUUGUCAGGGAAAGAAAAAAUGACUGUACCUGAAGAAAAGCACCGGCUAACUACGUGCCAACAGCCGCGGUAAUCUGAGGCGGGCUGGCAAGGC